RNAcentral lists this ribosomal RNA (975 nucleotides) under Triticum aestivum (bread wheat). RNAcentral's name for it is "partial small subunit ribosomal RNA". Lineage: Eukaryota; Viridiplantae; Streptophyta; Magnoliopsida; Poales; Poaceae. The record is from RNAcentral.
AUGGAGUUCUGGCCCGAGUUCUUGGCGAGCAGCGGCGGGCAUGAGUUCGUGGCGGGAGGCGUUGGCGGCAUGGCCGGCGUGCUGGCGGGCCACCCGCUGGACACGCUCCGCAUCCGCCUGCAGCAGCCGCCGCGGCCCGUGAGCCCCGGGAUCACCGCCGCGCGGGUGACGCGCCCGCCCUCCGCCGUCGCGCUGCUGCGCGGCAUCCUCCGCGCCGAGGGCCCCUCCGCGCUCUACCGCGGCAUGGGCGCGCCCCUCGCCUCCGUCGCCUUCCAGAAUGCAAUGGUCUUCCAAGUGUACGCAAUCCUCUCGCGGUCGCUGGAUCGACGGAUGUCCACCUCCGAGCCUCCCUCCUACACAAGCGUGGCACUCGCCGGCGUGGGCACCGGGGCACUGCAGACGCUGAUCCUGUCCCCCGUGGAGCUCGUCAAGAUCAGGCUGCAGCUGGAGGCGGCGGGGCGGAAGCGCCAGGGGCCGGUGGACAUGGCCCGGGACAUCAUGCGGAGGGAGGGCCUGCGCGGCAUAUACCGCGGGCUCACGGUCACCGCGCUCCGGGACGCGCCGUCGCACGGCGUCUACUUCUGGACGUACGAGUACGCGCGGGAGCGGCUGCACCCGGGCUGCCGCCGCACAGGGCAAGAGAGCCUCGCCACGAUGCUCGUGUCCGGUGGCCUCGCGGGGGUCGCCAGCUGGGUCUGCUGCUACCCGCUGGACGUGGUGAAGUCGCGGCUGCAGGCGCAGACGCAGACGCACCCGCCGUCGCCGAGGUACCGCGGCGUCGUCGACUGCUUCCGGAAGAGCGUGAGGGAGGAGGGGCUCCCGGUGCUGUGGCGCGGCCUCGGCACGGCCGUGGCGCGGGCGUUCGUCGUCAACGGCGCCAUCUUCUCGGCCUACGAGCUGGCCCUGCGCUUCUUGGUGCGCAACAACGGCCGCCAGACGCUGGUAAUGGAGGAGAUGAAGUGCCAUGAUCACUGA